Molecule: long non-coding RNA, 2158 nt
Filed under: Homo sapiens (human)
Lineage: Eukaryota; Metazoa; Chordata; Mammalia; Primates; Hominidae
Description: HSALNT0232998
Source: RNAcentral
AUUUUUAGUAGAGAUGGGGUUUCACUGUGUUGGCCAGGCUCGUCUUGAACUCCUGACCUCAUGAUCCGCCUGCCUUGGCCUCCCAAAGUGCUGGGAUUACAAGCGUGAGCCACCAUGCCCGGACUAGUUUUGUUAUUUUUAUGCAGCUACAAGGAGGAAAAUGAUACAUACCUUUCAUUACUGAAGAUGGAAAGAUGUGUAAGUUAGAUAAGAGAAAAACAGAUCCUGAUGACCUUCCUUCCAACAUAAACCACCUGUCAGAAGACGGUGCAGGGAGACUCAGGCCAAAGGGAAGGUAUCUGUCAGCCUCUCCUCUGACUAAAACUCCCCUAGGAGGGGCAGAGGUCAGUGUAAAAUAUGUAUUUUUUGAGACAGAGUCUCACAUUGUCACCCAGGCUGGAGUGCAGUGGUGCGAUCUCAGCUCACUGCAACCUUUGCCUCAGCCUCCCUAGAAGCUGGGAUUACAGGGCAUGCACCACCAUGCCUGGCUAAUUUUUGUAUUUUUGGUAGAGACUAGAUUUCACCAUGUUGGCCAGGUUGGUCUCAAACUCCUGACCUCAAAUGAUCUGCCCGCCUUAGCCUCCCAAAGUGCUGUGAUUACAGGCGUGUGCCACCGUGCCCGGCCAUAGUGUAAAAUCUUUAUUCUUCAGUGUGGUUUAUCCCAAUUCCAAUUAUACAUUAGGUCUAAAACAAAACUCAGGCCUUGGGAAUUCCAAGCUUUGCCCUAGAGUGAAGCCCAUUCCCUUGCUGGGAUUGUUCUGGGGACAGAAGCUGCAUAGCUCACUGUCCUGUGGAGUUGAGGGAAGCUAUCUUUCCACACUGGUCCCAGCAAGGGGUGCAGGGCCGGGAGCCUAGGCUGGGAGAGUGAAGCUGGGCCAGAUAGACUCCAACAGUGACAGUCCCUGGGCUCACAGGAGGUGGCUGGCAGGACCAAGUAGGUGGCCUAAUGCCUGGCAUCAAGGUGGGGCGCUCCCGGGCUCAGCUGCCACUGAAGGUGGAGGUAGAAGAGGUCACGGUGCCUGAGGGCUUUGUCCAGAAGCUCAAUGACCACCUGCUCUUGGUGUACACUGGCAAGACCCGCCUGGCUCGGAACCUGCUGCAGGAUGUGCUGAGGAGCUGGUAUGCCCGACUUCCUGCUGUGGUGCAGAAUGCCCACAGCCUGGUACGGCAAACUGAGGAGUGUGCUGAAGGCUUCCGCCAAGAUGGGUGCUGAGUAUCUUGGCCCAGGCACGUCACUCCCCUCUGCCCCACCUCAGGAAGCCUGCCUCUGCUGGGCCAGUGCCUGACCUCGUACUGGGAGCAGAAGAAGCUCAUGGCUCCAGGCUGUGAGCCCCUGACUGUGCGGCGUAUGAUGGAUGUCCUGGCCCCCCACGUGCAUGGCCAGAGCCUGGCUGGGGCAGGCGGUGGAGGCUUUCUCUAUCUGUUGACCAAGGAGCCACAGCAAAAGGAGGCCUUGGAGGCGGUGCUGGCCAAGACCGAGGGCCUUGGGAAUUACAGCAUCCACCUGGUUGAAGUGGACACUCAGGGCCUGAGCCUGAAGCUGCUGGGGACCGAGGCCUCAACCUGUUGCCCUUUCCCAUGAAGCUGGCUUCUCUCUGCAACAGGAGAAAACCUGGAGCUACAGUGUCCCCCACCUUCCUUGCCCCAUGGGAACCUCCACCUCCUACUCCCCACCCACCUCUGCGAAUCUGCUCCCAAAGGAAGCUGACCAGAGCAAGAUCUGGGCAAGCAGAGAGUGCCUGGGACAGGACUGUGACCUGGUGGACAGGGGCCUAGAUGUAGCCUCUGUUCCUCCUGGACAUAGGAAGGUCCCAAGCUUAGUAUCCCACGUGGCCUUUACAAAUCCUAUGGCUGGCCUUCUCAUUCCACAAGGGCCCUGGAAAGGGUUGACAGCCAGCCUUGGCAUAUGGCUGGGAGUCCCUUAGCAAGGCCAACCCUGAAGAGGCCCUUUGAGGCAUUCCCUAUGGCUUAGAGUUGUAGACUUACACUCAACCCUCAUGUGAGCGUGGGAGUGAGGGUGGCGGUCCCUUGCCAAGUUGGUAGCAGUGACCCAGUGAUUCACUGCCAUCCCAGGCCUUAACUAGCAAAACUACGGAGCGUGCCAAGUGACCUGGUGCCUGUGGGAAGUGGGUUCUCAGGACUGGCAUUCUUGGAAUAA